This is a long non-coding RNA of Macadamia integrifolia, 276 nucleotides long. RefSeq lists it as uncharacterized. The record is from RefSeq and is a predicted model, not a curated record. Lineage: Eukaryota; Viridiplantae; Streptophyta; Magnoliopsida; Proteales; Proteaceae. The transcript has 2 exons.
GGGAGGGGGUGAUUGUUGCGGAAUUCUGUGGAUUUGGGUGGGGUGAGGAAUAUAAAUAUUUGUUCCAAGCAGAUAUUGCCAAAACCAACUUCAUAAAGUUGAUGUGUUAGUGAAAAAUAGGCCUUUAUACACUGUUCACUUCUUCCUGAACAGUGAAGGCUUGUCUGCUAAGAUUGCUGGGGAGCUAGUUAACUUGCAUUGUAGACUUGUAGUGUUGAAACUGGACACUGGGAAAGAAUUCAUCAAUUUGAGUAAUCCGGAAUAUUUAUGGUGCAA